Molecule: ribosomal RNA, 500 nt
Filed under: uncultured bacterium
Lineage: Bacteria
Description: bacterial SSU rRNA
Rfam family: Bacterial small subunit ribosomal RNA
Source: RNAcentral
AUUGAACGCUGGCGGCAUGCUUUACACAUGCAAGUCGAACGGUAACAGGCCUUCGGGUGCUGACGAGUGGCGAACGGGUGAGUAAUGCAUCGGAACGUGCCCAAUCGUGGGGGAUAACGUAGCGAAAGUUACGCUAAUACCGCAUAAGCCCUGAGGGGGAAAGCAGGGGAUCGCAAGACCUUGCGCGAAUGGAGCGGCCGAUGUCAGAUUAGCUAGUUGGUGGGGUAAAGGCCUACCAAGGCGACGAUCUGUAGCGGGUCUGAGAGGAUGAUCCGCCACACUGGGACUGAGACACGGCCCAGACUCCUACGGGAGGCAGCAGUGGGGAAUUUUGGACAAUGGGCGCAAGCCUGAUCCAGCCAUGCCGCGUGCGGGACGAAGGCCUUCGGUUGUAAACCGCUUUCAGCCGGAAAGAAUACGCCAAGGCUAAUAUCCUUGGUGGAUGACGGUACCGGAAGAAGAAGCACCGGCUAACUACGUGCCAGCAGCCGCGGUAAUGU